CCUACGGGAGGCAGCAGUAGGGAAUAUUGCUCAAUGGGGGAAACCCUGAAGCAGCAACGCCGCGUGGAGGAUGAAGGUUUUCGGAUUGUAAACCCCUUUUGUCAGAGAAGAUAAUGACGGUACCUAACGAAUAAGCACCGGCUAACUCCGUGCCAGCAGCCGCGGUAAUACGGAGGGUGCAAGCGUUACUCGCAAUCACUGGGCGUAAAGGGCGCGUAGGCGGGAUAGCAAGUCAGAGGUGAAAUCCUAUGGCCUAACCAUAGAACUGCCUUGGAAACUGUGAUUCUAGAGUAGGGGAGAGGUAGGUGGAAUUCUUGGUGUAGGGGUGAAAUGCGUAGAGAUCAAGAGGAAUACUCAUUGCGAAGGCGGCCUACUGGAGCCUAACUGACGCUGAGGCGCGAAAGCGUGGGGAGCAAACAGGAUUAGAUACCCCGGUAGUC
Molecule: ribosomal RNA, 440 nt
Filed under: uncultured bacterium
Lineage: Bacteria
Description: partial 16S ribosomal RNA
Rfam family: Bacterial small subunit ribosomal RNA
Source: RNAcentral